GCGUGGGAAUCUACCUCGUAGUGGGGGACAACUUGUGGAAACGCAAGCUAAUACCGCAUACGUCCUGAGGGAGAAAGCAGGGGAUCUUCGGACCUUGUGCUAUGAGAUGAGCCCGCGUCGGAUUAGCUAGUUGGUGGGGUAAAGGCCUACCAAGGCGACGAUCCGUAGCUGGUCUGAGAGGAUGAUCAGCCACACUGGAACUGAGACACGGUCCAGACUCCUACGGGAGGCAGCAGUGGGGAAUAUUGCACAAUGGGCGCAAGCCUGAUGCAGCCAUGCCGCGUGUGUGAAGAAGGCUCU
Molecule: ribosomal RNA, 300 nt
Filed under: uncultured Alteromonadaceae bacterium
Lineage: Bacteria; Pseudomonadati; Pseudomonadota; Gammaproteobacteria; Alteromonadales; Alteromonadaceae
Description: bacterial SSU rRNA
Rfam family: Bacterial small subunit ribosomal RNA
Source: RNAcentral